This 492-nucleotide ribosomal RNA is filed under the name uncultured bacterium. Its description in RNAcentral is "partial 16S ribosomal RNA". It matches the Rfam family "Bacterial small subunit ribosomal RNA", at positions 29 to 507 of the family's 1533-position model. The record is from RNAcentral.
AGUGAACGCUGGCGGUAGGCCUAACACAUGCAAGUCGAACGGCAGCACAGUAAGAGCUUGCUCUUACGGGUGGCGAGUGGCGGACGGGUGAGGAAUACAUCGGAAUCUACUUUUUCGUGGGGGAUAACGUAGGGAAACUUACGCUAAUACCGCAUACGACCUACGGGUGAAAGCAGGGGAUCUUCGGACCUUGCGCGAUUGAAUGAGCCGAUGUCGGAUUAGCUAGUUGGCGGGGUAAAGGCCCACCAAGGCGACGAUCCGUAGCUGGUCUGAGAGGAUGAUCAGCCACACUGGAACUGAGACACGGCCCAGACUCCUACGGGAGGCAGCAGUGGGGAAUAUUGGACAAUGGGCGCAAGCCUGACCCAGCCAUACCGCGUGGGUGAAGAAGGCCUUCGGGUUGUAAAGCCCUUUUGUUGGGAAAGAAAAGCAGCAGGUUAAUACCCCGCUGUUCUGACGGUACCCAAAGAAUAAGCACCGGCUAACUUCGUG